RNAcentral lists this ribosomal RNA (1395 nucleotides) under Dickeya phage phiDP23.1. RNAcentral describes it as "bacterial LSU rRNA". It matches the Rfam family "Bacterial large subunit ribosomal RNA", at positions 1652 to 2854 of the family's 2925-position model. The record is from RNAcentral. Lineage: Duplodnaviria; Heunggongvirae; Uroviricota; Caudoviricetes; Pantevenvirales; Ackermannviridae.
AACCGACACAGGUGGUCAGGUAGAGAAUACUCAGGCGCUUGAGAGAACUCGGGUGAAGGAACUAGGCAAAAUGGUGCCGUAACUUCGGGAGAAGGCACGCUGGGCGCGGUGAAGUCCCUCGCGGAUGGAGCUGAGCCCAGUCGCAGAUACCAGCUGGCUGCAACUGUUUAAUAAAAACACAGCACUGUGCAAACACGAAAGUGGACGUAUACGGUGUGACGCCUGCCCGGUGCCGGAAGGUUAAUUGAUGGGGUUAUCCGCAAGGAGAAGCUCUUGAUCGAAGCCCCGGUAAACGGCGGCCGUAACUAUAACGGUCCUAAGGUAGCGAAAUUCCUUGUCGGGUAAGUUCCGACCUGCACGAAUGGCGUAAUGAUGGCCAGGCUGUCUCCACCCGAGACUCAGUGAAAUUGAACUCGCUGUGAAGAUGCAGUGUACCCGCGGCAAGACGGAAAGACCCCGUGAACCUUUACUAUAGCUUGACACUGAACCUUGAACCUUGAUGUGUAGGAUAGGUGGGAGGCUGAGAAAUGUGGACGCCAGUCUGCAUGGAGCCAACCUUGAAAUACCACCCUUUAAUGUUUGAUGUUCUAACGUGGACCCGUGAUCCGGGUUGCGGACAGUGUCUGGUGGGUAGUUUGACUGGGGCGGUCUCCUCCCAAAGAGUAACGGAGGAGCACGAAGGUUAGCUAAUCCNGAAAUGUGGACGCCAGUCUGCAUGGAGCCAACCUUGAAAUACCACCCUUUAAUGUUUGAUGUUCUAACGUGGACCCGUAAUCCGGGUUGCGGACAGUGUCUGGUGGGUAGUUUGACUGGGGCGGUCUCCUCCCAAAGAGUAACGGAGGAGCACGAAGGUUAGCUAAUCCUGGUCGGACAUCAGGAGGUUAGUGCAAAGGCAUAAGCUAGCUUGACUGCGAGAGUGACGGCUCGAGCAGGUGCGAAAGCAGGUCUUAGUGAUCCGGUGGUUCUGAAUGGAAGGGCCAUCGCUCAACGGAUAAAAGGUACUCCGGGGAUAACAGGCUGAUACCGCCCAAGAGUUCAUAUCGACGGCGGUGUUUGGCACCUCGAUGUCGGCUCAUCACAUCCUGGGGCUGAAGUAGGUCCCAAGGGUAUGGCUGUUCGCCAUUUAAAGUGGUACGCGAGCUGGGUUUAGAACGUCGUGAGACAGUUCGGUCCCUAUCUGCCGUGGGCGUUGGAAGAUUGAGGGGGGUUGCUCCUAGUACGAGAGGACCGGAGUGAACGCACCGCUGGUGUUCGGGUUGUCAUGCCAAUGGCACUGCCCGGUAGCUACGUGCGGAAGAGAUAACCGCUGAAAGCAUCUAAGCGGGAAACUUGCCCCGAGAUGAGUCUUCCCUGGGCCCUUGAGGCCCCUGAAGGGACGUUUAAGACUAAGACGUU